GUUUCACUUGCAAUACCCGCAUACACACAAACAAAACAAAAGCAUUGGUCAUCUUCAUCAUCAGGUUCUUCCUGAUUCAUAACACACACAUACUGAUGAACAUACAUAUGCUUCAUUUCGAAACCUAACAAGCAGAGCAGAUCAUCAAAUCAGGAAAAACAAAGAAUGAAGAAGGAAGAAGAAUUGAAGUCUGAAGAUUGAAGAACAAUAGCUUGCAGCGAUUCAGCGAGACAGCAACUCAAACAGAAGAAUAGAAGAGACGAUUGGAGAAGGGCAUAUAAUUGAGAAGGAUAAUGGAAAAAGAACGGAAGUUUUAUGUCGUAUCCGCGUAUCGUCCUUUGAUUGAAGAAUCCCUCUACACUUACGCGUGAUUUUUUGGAAACUAUUACCUUGGAUCAAAAGUAAAGGGGCCCCUUACAAUUGGGGGCCCUAAGCCCUACCUUCACUUAUAAAACAUUAACGCCGGCCCUGCUUAUUAUUAGUACAAAAGAUACUUAACUUGUUAUAUUUUGUGUUGUAGCGGUAAAAGACAUGAUCGGGAUCAAAAAGGAAGCAAAUUGGGAGCUGGAAGCUAGGAAUUUCGACUAAGGCAAAAAGAAAAAGGAAAGAUGAAAAACCACAGUGUGAUGACCCUCACCACGACGUGGUAAAAUGAGAAAUCCCGAUUAUGUUAUGGCUCGUCGGAUAUGCGAUUUUUACACCAACCACAGUGUGGUGGCCAUUAACACGCCGUGGUGCACCAAUUUUCGAAAACUAUAUAUAGAUCGACUUUUCUCUCAAACAUGUUGGAUUCCGGAAGUAAUUAUCGACUUUUGGAGGCAAGAAACGUUCCUUGGGAGAUAUGGAGUAUAGAUUUCGGUUAUUAGCUUCAUUUUUUAGAGAUCUAAGGCAAUGUUACUCUUUUUUACUUGUUUACUUUGAUUUUGUCAUGACUAUCAAAGUGAAUCUUGUUUUUACAUGUUUGUUUGUUGAAGUUAUGGGCUAAACACCCUAACUUUCAUUUAGACUGGAUUACUUGCGUUAUUAUGAGUUGAUUUUAUAGAUUGGAUUAAGCUAGUUGAUUAUUUGUUAUGUUAGCUUGUUAAAGAACCUCUCUAUAUUUAUGAUAACUACUUUUAUGUUUA
Molecule: long non-coding RNA, 1124 nt
Organism: Lactuca sativa (garden lettuce)
Lineage: Eukaryota; Viridiplantae; Streptophyta; Magnoliopsida; Asterales; Asteraceae
Source: RefSeq, a predicted model, not a curated record